RNAcentral lists this ribosomal RNA (226 nucleotides) under Bacillus sp. (in: firmicutes). RNAcentral describes it as "Bacillus sp. (in: Bacteria) partial 16S ribosomal RNA". It matches the Rfam family "Bacterial small subunit ribosomal RNA", at positions 561 to 786 of the family's 1533-position model. The record is from RNAcentral. Lineage: Bacteria; Bacillati; Bacillota; Bacilli; Caryophanales; Bacillaceae.
UAAAGCGCGCGCAGGUGGUUUCUUAAGUCUGAUGUGAAAGCCCACGGCUCAACCGUGGAGGGUCAUUGGAAACUGGGAGACUUGAGUGCAGAAGAGGAAAGUGGAAUUCCAUGUGUAGCGGUGAAAUGCGUAGAGAUAUGGAGGAACACCAGUGGCGAAGGCGACUUUCUGGUCUGUAACUGACACUGAGGCGCGAAAGCGUGGGGAGCAAACAGGAUUAGAUACC